GAGUUUGAUCCUGGCUCAGAUUGAACGCUGGCGGCAUGCCUUACACAUGCAAGUCGAACGGCAGCACGGGAGCUUGCUCCUGGUGGCGAGUGGCGAACGGGUGAGUAAUGCAUCGGAACGUAUCCUGGAGUGGGGGAUAACGUAGCGAAAGUUACGCUAAUACCGCAAAUUCUGUGAGCAGGAAAGCGGGGGACCUUCGGGCCUCGCGCUCUUGGAGCGGCCGAUGUCGGAUUAGCUAGUUGGUGAGGUAAAGGCUCACCAAGGCGACGAUCCGUAGCAGGUCUGAGAGGAUGAUCUGCCACACUGGAACUGAGACACGGUCCAGACUCCUACGGGAGGCAGCAGUGGGGAAUUUUGGACAAUGGGGCGAACCCUAAUCCAGCCAUGCCGCGUGAGUGAAGAAGGCCUCGGUU
This 413-nucleotide ribosomal RNA is filed under the name bacterium enrichment culture clone ALO1_GLFRUDD03F1A1I. RNAcentral describes it as "bacterial SSU rRNA". It matches the Rfam family "Bacterial small subunit ribosomal RNA", at positions 9 to 424 of the family's 1533-position model. The record is from RNAcentral.